CCUACGGGAGACUGCAGUGGGGAAUAUUGCACAAUGGGCGCAAGCCUGAUGCAGCGACGCCGCGUGCGGGAUGGAGGCCUUCAGGUUGUCAACCCCUUUUUUUCAAGGGACAGGCACGGUCUUUGGCCGUGUUUAGUGUAUUGUUCGAAUAAGCCCCUGCUCACUACGUGCCAGCAGCCGCGGUAUUACGUUGGGUGCACGCGUUAGCCGGAUUUAUUGGGGGUAAAGGGCUCGUAGGCGGGUCUUCGCGUCCGGUGUGGAAGUCCAUCGCUUAACGGUGGAUCCGCGGGGGGUACGGGCGGGCUUGAGUUCGGUAGGGGAGAGCGGAAUGCGCGGUGUAGCGGUGGAAUGCGUAGAUAUCGGGAAGAACACCAAUGGCGAAGGCAGGUCGCCGGGUCGUUACUGACGCUGAGGAGCGAAAGCGUGGGGAGCGAACAGGAUUAGAUACCCUUGUAGUC
This 458-nucleotide ribosomal RNA is filed under the name uncultured bacterium. RNAcentral describes it as "partial 16S ribosomal RNA". It matches the Rfam family "Bacterial small subunit ribosomal RNA", at positions 338 to 795 of the family's 1533-position model. The record is from RNAcentral.